GUUAAUAUAGUCUAAACAAGACAUUAGAUUGUGAUUCUAAUAAUAGAAGUUAAACUCUUCUUAUUGACC
Molecule: transfer RNA, 69 nt
Filed under: Polypterus retropinnis (West African bichir)
Lineage: Eukaryota; Metazoa; Chordata; Cladistia; Polypteriformes; Polypteridae
Also listed under: 7 other names
Description: tRNA-His
Rfam family: tRNA
About the family: Transfer RNA (tRNA) molecules are approximately 80 nucleotides in length. Their secondary structure includes four short double-helical elements and three loops (D, anti-codon, and T loops).
Source: RNAcentral